GAUGAACGCUGGCGGCGUGCCUAAUACAUGCAAGUCGAGCGAGCAGACGAGGAGCUUGCUCCUCUGACGUUAGCGGCGGACGGGUGAGUAACACGUGGAUAACCUACCUAUAAGACUGGGAUAACUUCGGGAAACCGGAGCUAAUACCGGAUAAUAUAUUGAACCGCAUGGUUCAAUAGUGAAAGACGGUUUUGCUGUCACUUAUAGAUGGAUCCGCGCCGCAUUAGCUAGUUGGUAAGGUAACGGCUUACCAAGGCAACGAUGCGUAGCCGACCUGAGAGGGUGAUCGGCCACACUGGAACUGAGACACGGUCCAGACUCCUAAGGGAGGCAGCAGUAGGGAAUCUUCCGCAAAGGGCGAAAGCCUGACGGAGCAACGCCGCGUGAGUGAUGAAGGUCUUCGGAUCGUAAAACUCUGUUAUUAGGGAAGAACAAAUGUGUAAGUAACUAUGCACGUCUUGACGGUACCUAAUCAGAAAGCCACGGCUAACUACGUG
This 497-nucleotide ribosomal RNA is filed under the name uncultured bacterium. Its description in RNAcentral is "partial 16S ribosomal RNA". It matches the Rfam family "Bacterial small subunit ribosomal RNA", at positions 28 to 507 of the family's 1533-position model. The record is from RNAcentral.